RNAcentral lists this long non-coding RNA (732 nucleotides) under Ananas comosus (pineapple). Its description in RNAcentral is "long non-coding RNA (ACOM_LNC018993)". The record is from RNAcentral. Lineage: Eukaryota; Viridiplantae; Streptophyta; Magnoliopsida; Poales; Bromeliaceae.
UACAUACGUGUGUGUGUGUGUGUGUGUGUGUGUGUGUGUGUGUGUGUGUGUGUGUGUGUGUGUGUGUGUAUAGAAAUAGAGUUACCUGCUGAUUAAAGAAUCACAAAAUUAACAGUUUUUUACGAUCUAUAUGAGUUGUUUAUUUGUUUAACGAUGUAGAGCAAUUCAAACUGGUUGAAUUUUCGAUAAAAAAUCGGUUAUAUUAUUUCGAUAGUGUUUAAUAAUUCCGAUUAUGAAUUGAGAAAAUUUAAUAUAUAUUUUCACAAAGUUAUUUAUUUUUAACUGUUUAUUUUUCGACUCUUUGAUGGACUUGAUAACAAUUUUUAAAAUUUAUGAAAUUUAAUUUUUAGACGUUUUAAAUACUCUAAAUCAACUUUAACGACUCCGAUCAUCGAUUUGAAAUCUCUAUCAUCUAAAACGAUUUAGGAAGACGAAGGCCUCCGUCCUUCUAAAAACAAAGCAGCUGAACUCUCUCUUUUUAUAUAUAUAGAGAGUCCAGCUAUUAUACUAUCAAUAGUACUAAGCAUUUAGUGCUACCAAGUUUUUCGCCGUUAGAUCUCUUUUUUUGACUAUUUUUAUCUGUUAAAUUAUAUUAUUGAACCAAAAAUCCACUCAAUUCUGGGGGAUUACUAUCAUCCUAAUCGUAUAUCUCUUUACUUCAAAAGCCGAGUCGCACUAAUAUCUUGAUGCUAUUAAUACUAUAGUUGUCCGAAUCUAUAUAAAUAUAUAUAU